This 443-nucleotide ribosomal RNA is filed under the name uncultured bacterium. RNAcentral's name for it is "partial 16S ribosomal RNA". It matches the Rfam family "Bacterial small subunit ribosomal RNA", at positions 338 to 795 of the family's 1533-position model. The record is from RNAcentral.
UCUACGGGAGGCAGCAGUGGGGAAUAUUGGGCAAUGGGCGCAAGCCUGACCCAGCAACGCCGCGUGAAGGAAGAAGGCUUUCGGGUUGUAAACUUCUUUUCUCAGGGACGAAGCAAGUGACGGUACCUGAGUAAUAAGCCACGGCUAACUACGUGCCAGCAGCCGCGGUAAUCCGUAGGUGACAAGCGUUAUCCGGAUUUACUGGGUGUAAAGGGCGUGUAGGUGGGAAAGCAAGUCAGAUGUGAAAACCAUGGGCUCAACCUGUGGGCUGCAUUUGAAACUGUUGUUCUUGAGUACUGGAGAGGCAGACGGAAUUCCUAGUGUAGCGGUGAAAUGCGUAGAUAUUAGGAGGAACACCAGUGGCGAAGGCGGUCUGCUGGACAGCAACUGACGCUGAGGCGCGAAAGCGUGGGGAGCAAACAGGAUUAGAUACCCCAGUAGUC